CAGUCGCCGCGGUAAUACGAAGGGGGCUAGCGUUGUUCGGAAUCACUGGGCGUAAAGGGUGCGCAGGCGGGAUCUUAAGUCAGGGGUGAAAUCCCGAGGCUCAACCUCGGAACUGCCUUUGAUACUGGGGUCCUUGAGUCCGGAAGAGGUGAGUGGAACUGCGAGUGUAGAGGUGAAAUUCGUAGAUAUUCGCAAGAACACCGGUGGCGAAGGCGGCUCACUGGUCCGGAACUGACGCUGAGGCACGACAGCGUGGGGAGCAAACAGGAUUAGAUACCCCGGUAGUCCCUGUCUCUUAUAC
Molecule: ribosomal RNA, 301 nt
Filed under: uncultured bacterium
Lineage: Bacteria
Description: partial 16S ribosomal RNA
Rfam family: Bacterial small subunit ribosomal RNA
Source: RNAcentral